CGGGGUGGAUUAGUGGCGAACGGGUGAGUAACACGUGGGCAAUCUGCCCUUCACUCUGGGACAAGCCCUGGAAACGGGGUCUAAUACCGGAUAACACUCUGUCCCGCAUGGGACGGGGUUAAAAGCUCCGGCGGUGAAGGAUGAGCCCGCGGCCUAUCAGCUUGUUGGUGGGGUGAUGGCCUACCAAGGCGACGACGGGUAGCCGGCCUGAGAGGGCGACCGGCCACACUGGGACUGAGACACGGCCCAGACUCCUACGGGAGGCAGCAGUGGGGAAUAUUGCACAAUGGGCGAAAGCCUGAUGCAGCGACGCCGCGUGAGGGAUGACGGCCUUCGGGUUGUAAACCUCUUUCAGCAGGGAAGAAGCGAGAGUGACGGUACCUGCAGAAGAAGCGCCGGCUAACUACGUGCCAGCAGCCGCGGUAAUACGUAGGGCGCAAGCGUUGUCCGGAAUUAUUGGGCGUAAAGAGCUCGUAGGCGGCUUGUUGCGUCGGUUGUGAAAGCCCGGGGCUUAACCCCGGGUCUGCAGUCGAUACGGGCAGGCUAGAGUGUGGUAGGGGAGAUCGGAAUUCCUGGUGUAGCGGUGAAAUGCGCAGAUAUCAGGAGGAACACCGGUGGCGAAGGCGGAUCUCUGGGCCAUUACUGACGCUGAGGAGCGAAAGCGU
This 665-nucleotide ribosomal RNA is filed under the name Streptomyces sanglieri. RNAcentral's name for it is "bacterial SSU rRNA". It matches the Rfam family "Bacterial small subunit ribosomal RNA", at positions 83 to 762 of the family's 1533-position model. The record is from RNAcentral. Lineage: Bacteria; Bacillati; Actinomycetota; Actinomycetes; Kitasatosporales; Streptomycetaceae.